Molecule: small nuclear RNA, 115 nt
Organism: Vulpes vulpes (red fox)
Lineage: Eukaryota; Metazoa; Chordata; Mammalia; Carnivora; Canidae
Source: Ensembl
GUGCUCGCUUCGGCAGCAUAUAUACUAAAAUUGGAACCAUAUAGAGAAGAUUAGCACAGCCUCUGCACCAGGAUGACAUGCAAAAAAAGGAAAGAAAGGAGAAAAAAAUGUCUUU